UACGGAGGGUGCGAGCGUUGUCCGGAAUUAUUGGGCGUAAAGAGCUCGUAGGCGGUUUGUCGCGUCUGCUGUGAAAACUCGGGGCUUAACCCUGGGCCUGCAGUGGGUACGGGCAGACUAGAGUGCGGUAGGGGAGACUGGAAUUCCUGGUGUAGCGGUGAAAUGCGCAGAUAUCAGGAGGAACACCGGUGGCGAAGGCGGGUCUCUGGGCCGUAACUGACGCUGAGGAGCGAAAGCGUGGGGAGCGAACAGG
Molecule: ribosomal RNA, 253 nt
Filed under: uncultured bacterium
Lineage: Bacteria
Description: partial 16S ribosomal RNA
Rfam family: Bacterial small subunit ribosomal RNA
Source: RNAcentral